AUGUUUUCUUUGUAUGUUCUUUGCUGUAGGUACGAGGAUCCUGACAAGUGCCUGAUUCUCUAUGGUGAUGACCAGGGAUGUGUGAACAUUCUGUUUUUGGCUUCUGUCGGUGAACUAUUAAGAACUUGGAAGAAGCUGCCCAAAGUUGAGAACAUGCCAAACAUUAGCAUUAAUAAUGCUGUGAAUUCUCCAAAUGUGAAUUACAUCCGCUGGAAAGUGCACGGAGACUGGGUUACUCAGCUGAACUACUACGAUUCUAUCAACGCCGUUAUCUCAAGCUCCAAUCAUGAGCCCACUGCUCUAGUCAUAGGUGAGCACAUGCAAGUUCAAAGAGAUUUGCCCAUCAGGUCACUUAGCUGGAAGAAGUGGAAUUGGGACCUGACUCCAGUUUUUCUGACCUCAGUGCCCUAUUCCCUAGACCUGGGUUGGUAAGGCCCUGUCCCUCAGGCCUUGGAGUUUGUUUGGGGACAGCUUCGUUUCAAAAGGAGAUUCUGACCCUGGAGCGGAAUAAGUCUCUGAAACGUCAUCAUUCACCCUAGAGCAGCGAGAAAGCUGUAGCCGGUAGAGGGCGCCUCUGUCUUUGGGGUGGGGUCCCUGCAUGCCCAGCAGUAGCAGCAGCCGCCUGAGAAAGGACCAGUGAGGAGCCCAGACCCAGACACGCAGGUCUGCCCCCUGCCCAGUGGAAGCGGGGGAGAGAGAGGCUGGGGAGGCAGGGAUUGGAUGUUCAUCACCGAGGGGGAGUUACGACUUGGGUCUCUUCUUACAUGAGACCUUCUCAGGUAUUUCAUUCGCUGGAAUGAUCUUCACCUUUUCUGCCUCCCCCUCUCAGAGCCAUCCCUGGCCCCACUCCUGGAUUUUAAGGGCCUGCUUUCACCAAGCAGUGCAUUCGUAAGUGAAUAAAAUAUGUAACACCAUCUUCGGCAGCUCACAAGUCAUCCACCCACGUAAUGACAACAGCCAUUUCUUUUAUGAAGCCUUACCACCGAGCUGGGCCCGAGCAUUUCUGAGCUCUGGAGAAGCUGAAACCUCAGGGUUUUUUUUCCUCCUCUCCUUCAGAAUCUCAUUCUAGUCGCCACGGAACAUCAUGGAAAAUCAGUAAUGAGUCAUGCCCAAGGUCUCAGCCGCCUGUGAGACACCUGCUUGCUUCUUUCUUGACAGGAAUCUUACAGCAGCCCUGUCCACCUCUGAUUCGCAGCCUUCAAACCACAUUGUCUUUCAAGGAAAGCUUCCUUGGUAAAUUUCUGAUUCACUGACAUUGAAAUCACUGAAGUGUUGGAAAGAGAUGUGCUCUGGGUAAGAAGUCGCUUGGGAAUUUUCAUUAGACUUUCUUGGAACUAAGAAGUGGUCGUUUUCUAGAACCGUGAUGGAUAUGAAUCUUAAGAAACUGAAAGCCAGCCUCCAGAAGCAGCUCAAAACUCAGUGUUUGUUAUGACAGAACAAAAAUCAGCGAGCCCAGAAGAAGGAUCUCCAGGCUCUAGCCCUGGCUCUGCUGCUCAUAGAGCUGUGACCUCAGGCCUCAGCCCCCUCUCCAGUUCAGUGAGGAAGUUGGACAUGAGCCCAAAGUCACAGAUCUUCCUUUUGCUCUAAGCCCCUGUCCCUCCCUUCCUUCACCUCACAUCAUGGGAAGCAGAGGCCGCUACAGCUCUGAACCCCUGUUAGUGUGUCUAGAAACCUAGAUAGCUCAACUAUAGAAUUCCUCCACCCCGGCCCCUCGCAACAUCGUUGAAGUUUCUGUUUCUCUCCGGAAGGAGAAUGGGGAGGAGCCCUUAGAGCAGAACUCCUGGAAAGACUUGCCCUUUCUUACGCCUGUCCUCCAAGUUGGUCUAAGACCCACUCCAACCCAGCUGUGUCCCUCCACGCCAUUAAAGUCACUCUUGUAAGGGCCACCAGUGCCCCUCCUGCUGCUGAAAUCAGUGACCGGUCCUCGUCCCACUUGCCCUCUCAACACGAGCCGCAGGUCCCUUGGCUUCCUCCCUGCAGUCCUCUCACUUGGCGUGAGGACUCCACCUCUCAUGGUUUCCCGUCCUUCCUGCCUGUAGCCCCUUCUCGUUCUCCCUUACUGGUCGUCUGCAUCGCCAUGACUCGUGUCUAUGACGCAGUGACGGAGCCCCCAGCAUUCAGUCUUUGGUCCUCUUCUCUUCCACAUCUGCACCCCCGCGAUGAGCGCUCCGCUACCACUGCUGUCAAUUCCCAAAAGUACAUCUCUGGCCCAGCCCCCUCCCUGAACUUCUCUCUGGUAUUUCCAGCUGCCUUGGAUCUAUCUCCCAAGGGCACCUCCACUUGGGUAGCUCAUGAGCAUCGAAAUUAAACCCAAACCUGAAUCCAGAUCUUCUUCCUCCCACCGUCUUCCCCAUCUCAUUUGGCUCGAAGUCCAUUCUUCCAGUUGCUCUGGCCAAAGUCUGAUGGUCACCCUUGACUCCUCUCUCACAACCCAUCUAACUUGCUGGCCCUACCUUCAUAACACACCCAGACUCUGGCUGCUGCUCCCCAGCCCCACUGCUACCCUCUAGUGAGAAUCACCACCCUCUCUUCCCUGGGUUCCUGAAACAGCCUCGCUCCUCUCCCUGCCUCCAUCCUGCCCUGUCGUCUCUUCUCCAUGAAGCAGCCAGAGAUACCCUGUAAAACGAGAAGUCAGACCUGUCCAAAUCCUCCAGUGGGCCCCCAUCUCAGUAAAAGUCGGAGUCCUUGGGGGACCUGUGUGUCACCCCAACCCUUGCGUCUCUGGCUUGGUCUCCUCCUUCCCUCCUUCCCUCACUCAGUCACACUGGCUCCUUCAGUAUAUUUAGAAUGUUUUCACUGCUUCUUCCUUGUGCCUGGAAAGUUCUCCCUAAAAAUGUCUGCAUUGCUCACUCCCUCAGCCUCUUGAAGUCUUUGCUCAAAUGUCACUUCUCAGUGAGGCCUCCUUGUCUGCUCUGUUCUAUAUGGCAACAGCCCAGCUCCUGGCUCUGGCAUUCCCUAUCCUUCCUACAUUGAUCUGCCCUUAUUUUGUUUUGUUUUGUUUUGUUUUGUUUGAUUAGGGGCACACCUGCAGC
This 3032-nucleotide long non-coding RNA is filed under the name Sus scrofa (pig). RNAcentral describes it as "lncRNA (ENSSSCG00045036540.1)". The record is from RNAcentral. Lineage: Eukaryota; Metazoa; Chordata; Mammalia; Artiodactyla; Suidae.